RNAcentral lists this small nuclear RNA (107 nucleotides) under Callithrix jacchus (white-tufted-ear marmoset). Lineage: Eukaryota; Metazoa; Chordata; Mammalia; Primates; Cebidae. The record is from RNAcentral.
GUGCUCGCUUUGGCAGCACAUAUACUAAAAUUGGAAUGAUACAGAGAAAAUUAGCAUGGCCCCUGUGCAAGGAUGACAUGCAAAUUCGUGAAGCGUUCCAUAUUUUU